Molecule: long non-coding RNA, 2131 nt
Organism: Nycticebus coucang (slow loris)
Lineage: Eukaryota; Metazoa; Chordata; Mammalia; Primates; Lorisidae
Exons: 3
Source: RefSeq, a predicted model, not a curated record
CUGGGAUGAGCCUGGGCUCCACCCCCAGCCAUGUGGCAUGGGCAAAACAAACUCUAAGCUUCAGUUCCCUUUGCCACAAAAUAAGGACAGAAGUCUUGUCUUUUGGAAUGUCAUGGAUGAAGAUUGCACAGGACAGAGACAGAUCCUUGAGAGGAAGGAGCCCAGGGAGAGGCAGUCUCAUCCAGGCAGGCCCAGAGCAGGGACAAAGCCCUUACUCCAGGCCACGGUGCAGGCAGUGUCCAGCAAAGCAGGUGGGGAGACUGGGCCUUCCUGGGUCAGGAUCCUAGGGACAAGUCCUGGGCUGCCUGUGGCCUGAGAUGAGAAGCAGCCUUGGUACCUCUGGCUACCUGAGGGGAGUGACUGCCAUGAACACCUGGCUCAGAUGUCAGUUGUCUGUCCAGGGUCUCAGCAUGUCUGACAGGCUGGGAUUCUGUAGAGGGAAACUUGCAAGGCAAAGUGAUAACCUGCAGAGCAAGUGGAGGCAUGCUAGGGCCCAGCUAUGGGCCUCAGAGCCAGGGCCCUACACGGCUGGGUGGGCAGUACUGGCCCCUGGGCCAUCAUGGCCUCACUCCUGAGGGCCCCUUGUGCCUCCCACUGACCCCUCACUGAGGUCCACUUUAGCUCUGAGAUGCCUCUCACAGACCGUGGCUCUCAAAUGCACAUUCUCUUUUCUCUCUCCAAUAAGUUCUCUGUAACUGACUGCUCUGCCCCUUUUUGCUAUUGUUCGAAUCAGAAAGUGCACGGGCAAAGAGCACAGUCUCCCAAGCCAGACGGUUUGAGAGCAAAGUCAAGUCCCUCCACCUCUCUGGGGCUCCAAUUCCUCAUCUGUGAAAUUGGGCAGUGAUCAUACUUUGUGGGAUUGAGGGGGUAAAGCUGUGAUCCUUAUGCAGUGUGUCUGGACACCAGGCUGCUUGCUGCUGUGUUCUGUGGACAGCCUCUGCCCGCCACGCCACUCUAACCCUAAACCACUUCCGUUCUGCUACUCCUCUCACCCACACCCAGCUCUGUGGCAGACCGAGACUCUACUUCUCCCUAGAAAUUUCCUGUUGCCAAAGGGGAACUGAGGGCCACAGGAAAUGCUACAUCAGCUCCUGGGCUAUUGCCAUCCAGGGUGGGGAAAGGUGUGGGAGGCCUAUGGUGUGGGGAUGCCAAGGUCGUGGUUAGCCUCCCCACCUGCCUUAGAGGGACCCUGCCUGGAGCGGACUCUGUACCCUACGUUACCUGUUGAUAACAGCCCUAGACAGGGAUGUGAUAACAGAGCCAACUCCAGGAGUCAUUGGCCACAGGCAUACCAGUAGACCUUGCCUGGCUCAGCUCGUGGGCAGGCAGGGGGGACAGUGCAUGCAGAAACAAUUUGGAGUUUGUGCCGGCUCUAGCCAGCUUAAUCAGUGGCUGGAUAAACUGCAGUACUCCAACAUUCUCUAGAGGAAAAAAGGGAGAAGAAAACUUACUGGAAGUGGUUCUGAUUGAAAAACCUCUAUUUACAGUAUGGAUUUUGAUUUUACUUAUAAAGAGAUUGAGGAUUGGUAAAGGUUUUCAAGGCAUCAUGAAAAGAUGGGGAUUUAAAGGCCAGCCUGCUAUGCAUAGUCAAACAAAAACCCACAGGAGGCCUGGAGCUAUUGCAACUGGUGAUAUUGUCAGAGUCUGGCCUGGAACUAAAAUGCCUGGGAAAAUGGGAAACGUAGACAGGACAGCAUAUGGACUGAAGGUAUGGAGAAUAAACACAAAGCACAGUAUAAUCUAUGUAAAUGGUUCUGUACCUGGAUAUAAAAAUUGUUUAGUAAAGGUCAAAGACUCUAAAUUGCCUGCAUAUAAGGAUUUCUGUAAAAAGCUACCAUUCCCUACAUAUUUUCCUGAUGGAGAUGAAGAGGAACUACCAGAAGAUUUGUACGAUGAGAACGUGCGUCAGCCUAGUGCACCUUCUAUUAUGUUUGCCUGACAUCACUGGACUUGGCAGAACCUUACAUAUUCUGUGAGCACUGAUGAGCCUGAAUAAUAAUCUAACCAGAAAUUAUAUUCUUUCCCAGUCACAACAAUACCAUGCUUGUCAUCUCUGUCAAGGACAUAGAUCCCUCAUCGCUCAGUUGAAUUUUGUUAGAAUAAUUACUUCAUUAAACAUAUAAAUUAAGUA